AUGGCCGUGGGGUCAAGGGGAAUGGUGGGGGAGAAGGGGCACUCGGGGCCAUGGAGCACAGCCCUCGCAGCCUGCCAGAGCUGGGCACAUGGAGCCCAGCACCGUGUGGUGCUGGUGCCACUGGCUGCGAGACAGACGGGGACAGGGGCCAUGGUGAGGCUGCGGGUGGCUCUCCUGGUGUCCCCAGCACACAGCCGGUGCGGCAGGACCCUGCCCUGCCACGCAGGUGGCCCUGGGCUUGCUGCCCUAUGGCAGCCGGGGCAGCCGGGUGGUGCCCCAGGGAGAAGGAUGCCCCCUUUUGGGCAGGGCUGUCACCUCCCCACCACGGCACGGGGCAUCCGCGUGCCCAAACGCAUCCCGCACCCCUCGGUGGGGACUGCGGGUGACGUCCCCUCCCUGGCCCCUGCGGGGACACCGGGCGGGGUGGCGGCAGGGUGGCUGCGUGCCCCACGCCGGGGGGAGAAGCGGGGUGGUCUGGCGUGCCCCACGGGGGGGCUUCCUGGAAGGAUGGCCCCCAUCCUCCCCCCCCGCCGGGGCCGAGUGACGUCCUUGCUCCUUGCUCAGCGGCGGAGCGUGCGGCGAGGCCCGCGGAGGAGCUCUGCCUGUGCCAGGCAUGCUCCUGACGCGGAGGGGAUGACGCAUGCAAAGCCUCGGCUCCAGCUCCGUGACCACCGGCGGCGGGGCCGGGGGGGGCCACGGAGCCGCCUCCGUUUGCUCCGGAGGGCAGGGAGGGGAGAGGCCGGCUGGGGGGGACCCCCCCUCGGGGGCUCACAGCCGCGCCGCCGGGCCCGGGGCCGUGCCCAACGCGGCGCCGAGCACCUGCCCUCCGCUCCUCCCGGGCACCACCGGCGUGGCCCCGUUCGCCGGCGGCUCUGCAGGCGGGGCUGGGGCUGGCGAAGCCCCGGGGGGGCGCAGCGCGGGGCCGGGACCCCCCGUGCGCCGGGCGCGCUCCCUCUCCCCGCUGCCUCCUCCUGCGGGCGCUCGGCGGCGCAGCAGCCCGGAGCCCUUACCUGGAAGCGCUUCUUCACCCAGAUCUUCUUCAUGCUUCUGCAGAGCCCCGGCGGCCCGGCCCCGGCGGCUCAGGCCCGGCAGGACGCCCGCCCGCUGCCGGCGGGGGGCCCGGGCUCAGCGCGGCGCGGGGCCGGAGCCCCUCCGAGCAUCCUCCCCGGCGGCAGCCGGGCACGGCCGAGGGAGAGGAAGGGGCUCGCCAGGUCGGGCUCUCGGGAGGGCUGGAGCUGCGAGCAUGAAGCAUCACUGGAGUGCUCCUCCCUCCAUCCUUCCCCCGCCUGCCUCCGCCUCCGCCUCCCCGCCAGCCCCGGCACGCAGCGGCAGCGGCGCAGGUGGCGGGGGGCGAGGGGCGCACACGUCCCGCACCCCCCUCCCGGCCCCGCGGGACGCGGGGCUCUGAGCCCCCUGCCCAGCGCCGUGCCCUGCCGUGCCGCUGUCCCUGCCCCGCCGCCGGGGGCAGAGGCUCCCUGCCCUCCUGCGCUCGGCACCGUGGGGCUCAGCCCACGCCGGGGCUCCCACACGCACCCCAAGGCAGAUAAUGUCCACGCACCGUCCCCAACGUGCCCACAGACAGGCCAGCUCUGGUGCCACAACGGUGCCCAGCCCAGACCUGCUCAGCAACCCCCCCCAAAGCCCUCCAUCCAUGGGUGA
This 1659-nucleotide long non-coding RNA is filed under the name Anser cygnoides (Swan goose). RNAcentral's name for it is "lncRNA (ENSACDG00005013361.1)". Lineage: Eukaryota; Metazoa; Chordata; Aves; Anseriformes; Anatidae. The record is from RNAcentral.